Long non-coding RNA from Branchiostoma floridae (Florida lancelet), 278 nucleotides. RefSeq lists it as uncharacterized. The transcript is spliced from 3 exons. The record is from RefSeq and is a predicted model, not a curated record. Lineage: Eukaryota; Metazoa; Chordata; Leptocardii; Amphioxiformes; Branchiostomatidae.
CGGCUCCCGGUAAGCAACCAGACUUCCCACCGGCACUGCAGGACGGCACAACCCGGCAAAGUAGUCCAGCAAGGGAGAAGACACAAGGGAAAAGUGCAAGUGAACAUCAGUGACGAUGGCAGUAGCUUUCUGGGUGACGUGCUGCGUUUUGGUCUGCUCUUUGUUCUACGGUGCUGCGGACGGUCAUGGCGGCUUCUCCAAAGAGUUGGUACCCUCUGAUGAUGAAGGCCUGAAGCCGAAGGGAGACCUUGUGGCGCUGUUAGUGAGUCGCCAGGCUG